UGUAAAUAUAUAAGUUUAGGCACUGA
Molecule: non-coding RNA, 26 nt
Filed under: Mus musculus (house mouse)
Lineage: Eukaryota; Metazoa; Chordata; Mammalia; Rodentia; Muridae
Source: RNAcentral